Molecule: ribosomal RNA, 482 nt
Filed under: uncultured bacterium
Lineage: Bacteria
Description: partial 16S ribosomal RNA
Rfam family: Bacterial small subunit ribosomal RNA
Source: RNAcentral
AUUGAACGCUGGCGGCAGGCCUAACACAUGCAAGUCGAGCGGAUGAAGGGAGCUUGCUCCUGGAUUCAGCGGCGGACGGGUGAGUAAUGCCUAGGAAUCUGCCUGGUAGUGGGGGAUAACGUCCGGAAACGGGCGCUAAUACCGCAUACGUCCUGAGGGAGAAAGUGGGGGAUCUUCGGACCUCACGCUAUCAGAUGAGCCUAGGUCGGAUUAGCUAGUUGGUGGGGUAAAGGCCUACCAAGGCGACGAUCCGUAACUGGUCUGAGAGGAUGAUCAGGCACACUGGAACUGAGACACGGUCCAGACUCCUACGGGAGGCAGCAGUGGGGAAUAUUGGACAAUGGGCGAAAGCCUGAUCCAGCCAUGCCGCGUGUGUGAAGAAGGUCUUCGGAUUGUAAAGCACUUUAAGUUGGGAGGAAGGGCAGUAAGUUAAUACCGUGCUGUUUUGACGUUACCAACAGAAUAAGCACCGGCUAACUUCG